UUCCUACGGGACGCAGCAGUGGGGAAUAUUGCACAAUGGGGGAAACCCUGAUGCAGCAACGCCGCGUGAAGGAAGACGGUUUUCGGAUUGUAAACUUCUGUUCUUAGUGAAGAAGAAUGACGGUAGCUAAGGAGCAAGCCACGGCUAACUACGUGCCAGCAGCCGCGGUAAUACGUAGGUGGCAAGCGUUGUCCGGAAUUACUGGGUGUAAAGGGAGCGCAGGCGGCACGGCAAGCCUGAUGUGAAAGCCCGCGGCCCAACCGCGGGACUGCAUUGGGAACUACCGGGCUGGAGUGCCGGAGAGG
This 305-nucleotide ribosomal RNA is filed under the name uncultured bacterium. RNAcentral describes it as "bacterial SSU rRNA". It matches the Rfam family "Bacterial small subunit ribosomal RNA", at positions 336 to 657 of the family's 1533-position model. The record is from RNAcentral.